Molecule: ribosomal RNA, 469 nt
Filed under: uncultured bacterium
Lineage: Bacteria
Description: bacterial SSU rRNA
Rfam family: Bacterial small subunit ribosomal RNA
Source: RNAcentral
GAUGAACGCUAGCUACAGGCUUAACACAUGCAAGUCGAGGGGCAGCACAGUGUAGCAAUACAUGGGUGGCGACCGGCGCACGGGUGCGUAACGCGUAUCCAACCUUCCCGUUACUCUUGGAUAGCCUUCCGAAAGGGAGAUUAAUACAAGAUGGUAUUCAAAUUCCGCAUGUUAUUUGAAUUAAAGAUUUAUCGGUAACGGAUGGGGAUGCGUGACAUUAGAUAGUAGGUGGGGUAACGGCCCACCAUGGCGACGAUCAGUAGCCGGUCUGAGAGGAUGAACGGCCACAUUGGGACUGAGAUACGGCCCAGACUCCUACGGAGGCAGCAGUGGGGAAUAUUGGGCAAUGGGCGAAAGCCUGACCCAGCAACGCCGCGUGAAGGAAGAAGGGCCUUCGGGUUGUAAACUUCUUUAGUCAGGACGAAGAACGUGACGGUACCUGCAGAAAAAGACAACGGCUAACUACGUG